UCCAGGAUGUUGAGAAGACACAGUGAGCCA
RNAcentral lists this non-coding RNA (30 nucleotides) under Mus musculus (house mouse). The record is from RNAcentral. Lineage: Eukaryota; Metazoa; Chordata; Mammalia; Rodentia; Muridae.